RNAcentral lists this transfer RNA (76 nucleotides) under Candidatus Solibacter sp. RNAcentral describes it as "tRNA-Met". It matches the Rfam family "tRNA". From Rfam's summary of the family: Transfer RNA (tRNA) molecules are approximately 80 nucleotides in length. Their secondary structure includes four short double-helical elements and three loops (D, anti-codon, and T loops). Further hydrogen bonds mediate the characteristic L-shaped molecular structure. tRNAs have two regions of fundamental functional importance: the anti-codon, which is responsible for specific mRNA codon recognition, and the 3' end, to which the tRNAs corresponding amino acid is attached (by aminoacyl-tRNA synthetases). tRNAs cope with the degeneracy of the genetic code in two manners: having more than one tRNA (with a specific anti-codon) for a particular amino acid; and 'wobble' base-pairing, i.e. permitting non-standard base-pairing at the 3rd anti-codon position. Lineage: Bacteria; Pseudomonadati; Acidobacteriota; Terriglobia; Bryobacterales; Solibacteraceae. The record is from RNAcentral.
GGGCCCUUAGCUCAGCGGUUAGAGCAGCGGACUCAUAAUCCGUCGGUCGCAGGUUCGAAUCCUGCAGGGCCCACCA